This 75-nucleotide transfer RNA is filed under the name Rubripirellula reticaptiva. RNAcentral describes it as "Planctomycetes bacterium Poly59 tRNA-Arg". It matches the Rfam family "tRNA". Rfam says of the family: Transfer RNA (tRNA) molecules are approximately 80 nucleotides in length. Their secondary structure includes four short double-helical elements and three loops (D, anti-codon, and T loops). Further hydrogen bonds mediate the characteristic L-shaped molecular structure. tRNAs have two regions of fundamental functional importance: the anti-codon, which is responsible for specific mRNA codon recognition, and the 3' end, to which the tRNAs corresponding amino acid is attached (by aminoacyl-tRNA synthetases). tRNAs cope with the degeneracy of the genetic code in two manners: having more than one tRNA (with a specific anti-codon) for a particular amino acid; and 'wobble' base-pairing, i.e. permitting non-standard base-pairing at the 3rd anti-codon position. RNAcentral also lists the same sequence under 1 other name. Lineage: Bacteria; Pseudomonadati; Planctomycetota; Planctomycetia; Pirellulales; Pirellulaceae. The record is from RNAcentral.
GCGCCCGUAGCUCAGUUGGAUAGAGCAUCGCACUUCUAAUGCGGCGGUCGCAGGUUCGAAUCCUGCCGGGCGUGC